GAUGAACGCUGGCGGCGUGCCUAAUACAUGCAAGUCGAGCGAACAGAUAAGGAGCUUGCUCCUUUGAAGUUAGCGGCGGACGGGUGAGUGACACGUGGGUAACCUACCUAUAAGACUGGGAUAACUUCGGGAAACCGGAGCUAAUACCGGAUAACAUUUAGAACCGCAUGGUCCUAAAGUGAAAGAUGGUUUUGCUAUCACUUAUAGAUGGACCCGCGCCGUAUUAGCUAGUUGGUAAGGUAACGGCUUACCAAGGCGACGAUACGUAGCCGACCUGAGAGGGUGAUCGGCCACACUGGAACUGAGACACGGUCCAGACUCCUACGGGAGGCAGCAGUAGGGAAUCUUCCGCAAUGGGCGAAAGCCUGACGGAGCAACGCCGCGUGAGUGAUGAAGGGUUUCGGCUCGUAAAACUCUGUUAUUAGGGAAGAACAAAUGUGUAAGUAACUGUGCACAUCUUGACGGUACCUAAUCAGAAAGCCACGGCUAACUACGUGCCAGCAGCCGCGGUAAUACGUAGGUGGCAAGCGUUAUCCGGAAUUAUUGGGCGUAAAGCGCGCGUAGGCGGUUUCUUAAGUCUGAUGUGAAAGCCCACGGCUCAACCGUGGAGGGUCAUUGGAAACUGGGAAACUUGAGUGCAGAAGAGGAAAGUGGAAUUCCAUGUGUAGCGGUGAAAUGCGCAGAGAUAUGGAGGAACACCAGUGGCGAAGGCGACUUUCUGGUCUGUAACUGACGCUGAUGUGCGAAAGCGUGGGGAUCAAACAGGAUUAGAUACCCUGGUAGUCCACGCCGUAAACGAUGAGUGCUAAGUGUUAGGGGGUUUCCGCCCCUUAGUGCUGCAGCUAACGCAUUAAGCACUCCGCCUGGGGAGUACGACCGCAAGGUUGAAACUCAAAGGAAUUGACGGGAACCCGCACAAGCGGUGGAGCAUGUGGUUUAAUUCGAAGCAACGCGAAGAACCUUACCAAAUCUUGACAUCCUUUGAAAACUCUAGAGAUAGAGCCUUCCCCUUCGGGGGACAAAGUGACAGGUGGUGCAUGGUUGUCGUCAGCUCGUGUCGUGAGAUGUUGGGUUAAGUCCCGCAACGAGCGCAACCCUUAAGCUUAGUUGCCAUCAUUAAGUUGGGCACUCUAGGUUGACUGCCGGUGACAAACCGGAGGAAGGUGGGGAUGACGUCAAAUCAUCAUGCCCCUUAUGAUUUGGGCUACACACGUGCUACAAUGGACAAUACAAAGGGCAGCUAAACCGCGAGGUCAUGCAAAUCCCAUAAAGUUGUUCUCAGUUCGGAUUGUAGUCUGCAACUCGACUACAUGAAGCUGGAAUCGCUAGUAAUCGUAGAUCAGCAUGCUACGGUGAAUACGUUCCCGGGUCU
RNAcentral lists this ribosomal RNA (1372 nucleotides) under uncultured bacterium. RNAcentral's name for it is "bacterial SSU rRNA". It matches the Rfam family "Bacterial small subunit ribosomal RNA", at positions 28 to 1381 of the family's 1533-position model. The record is from RNAcentral.